Molecule: ribosomal RNA, 460 nt
Filed under: uncultured bacterium
Lineage: Bacteria
Description: partial 16S ribosomal RNA
Rfam family: Bacterial small subunit ribosomal RNA
Source: RNAcentral
CCUACGGGUGGCUGCAGUGAGGAAUAUUGGUCAAUGGGCGCUAGCCUGAACCAGCCAAGUAGCGUGAAGGAUGACUGCCCUAUGGGUUGUAAACUUCUUUUAUAUGGGAAUAAAGUACAGUAUGUAUACUGCUUUGCAUGUACCUUAUGAAUAAGGAUCGGCUAACUCCGUGCCAGCAGCCGCGGUAAUACGGAGGAUGCGAGCGUUAACCGGGUUUAGUGGGGUUAAAGGGAUCGUAGGCGGGUUGUUAAGUCAGUUGUGAAAGUUGGCGGCUCAACCGUAAAAUUGCAGUUGAUACUGGCAUCCUUGAGUACAGUAGAGGUAUGCGGAAUUCGUGGUGUAGCGGUGAAAUGCUUAGAUAUCACGAAGAACUCCGAUUGCGAAGGCAGCCUGCUGGACCGUAACUGACGCUGAUGCUCGAAAGUGUGGGUAUCAAACAGGAUUAGAUACCCUUGUAGUC